GAUGAACGCUAGCGGCAGGCUUAACACAUGCAAGUCGAGGGGUAUUGGUUUUCGGACCAAGAGACCGGCGCACGGGUGCGUAACGCGUAUGCAAUCUACCUUUUGCAGAGGGAUAGCCCCAGAGAAAUUUGGAUUAAUACCUCAUAGUAUAGUACUUUGGCAUCAAGGAACUAUUAAAGUCACAACGGCAAAAGAUGAGCAUGCGUCCCAUUAGCUAGUUGGUAAGGUAACGGCUUACCAAGGCUACGAUGGGUAGGGGUUCUGAGAGGGAGAUCCCCCACACUGGUACUGAGACACGGACCAGACUCCUACGGGAGGCAGCAGUGGGGAAUAUUGGACAAUGGGCGAAAGCCUGAUCCAGCAAUGCCGCGUGAGUGAUGAAGGCCUUAGGGUUGUAAAGCUCUUUUACCAGGGAUGAUAAUGACAGUACCUGGAGAAUAAGCUCCGGCUAACUCCGUGCCAGCAGCCGCGGUAAUGUGACUACU
Molecule: ribosomal RNA, 485 nt
Filed under: uncultured bacterium
Lineage: Bacteria
Description: bacterial SSU rRNA
Rfam family: Bacterial small subunit ribosomal RNA
Source: RNAcentral